RNAcentral lists this long non-coding RNA (33588 nucleotides) under Xyrichtys novacula (pearly razorfish). The record is from RNAcentral. Lineage: Eukaryota; Metazoa; Chordata; Actinopteri; Labriformes; Labridae.
CCCUGAGCGCGUGGUCCUGGUCGUGAGCACAUGGAAGUGAGGUCGAGAUUUGUGUCUGUUAGACGCGCGACUGAACAUCAGAGAAAAAAGGGAUUAUAAAGCAGAAAAAGAGCGACAGAAACAACACGAACAGCGCGGUAAGACCUCCUGCUUUUGUCAUCUAUCGAGAGCUUCUUUGUUUUAAGAGAAAUAAUUGAAUUUCACUGAUUAACAGGCCUGUCAUUAAGGUGAAGAAGAAGCCCUCUUUCUUUUAUGUAUCUGCUACAAACUUGGUUUUAAAGAGCAGUAGUCACUGUGAGAAUGAAAACGACCUUAUAGAGGUUUAAUGUGAUGUGAAUAUAAAACGUCUCGGGAUACAACCUGUCUAAAACUAUUGUUCUCAGGACAAGUGUUAUCUGCGUCUGCCUUCUCUUCUAUUGUCUGUCCCACUCCACUUCACGCUGCAGAGCUGGAGAUGUUUAUAACGCGUGUUCUGUUAGUUUGCAUGGUUUACUUUGUGCUGUAAACUGAAGCUAACAAAGUAGACUUUCUGAGCCUUUAUUCCCCUGAGACCUGAGAGUAUAAAUGGCUGCUUGAAGCACUGUUUUCCCUCUGCUGUCAGUGUGUUAUUUCAAUGCUUUGGAUCAUAACAAAAGAUGAUGGAAGGCGUCUGUGAUAGCAUCAGGUAGAGCUUGGGUUCCCUUUCUCAAGCGUGAUGUGAAGCUUGUUUAUGUGCAGCAAAAUAAAGAAUAUUUCCAGGUUAGACAUUUUUUUUUGUUUAUUGGUUUGUGGAUGUAAAUAAAAGCUGCCAGGAAGAAAUUUUCAAGCAUCAUGUCUGAGAUAUGGGAUGACCACAAAAGGUGGGAUUAUUGUGGAUUCAUUGUGUGGACUUUCUCCGUGAGCGGGAUGGUGUUUGGUGUUAGGGGAAAGUGCGCUGUAAGCAUCCGACCAAGGUUCAAAAAACCUUUUAUAAAAACAAAUUUAUCCACUCUGCUGUUUUUUAAAAUACCUGAAGGUGCUAAGAUGUACUUGAUACUAAAGAAGAGUGUCUUUGUUAUUCACAGUUUAUAGUAUCCACUCAAUAAUGAAACUAUUCUAGCAACUAAUAGGAAUGCACUGAUCUGCUUUUUUCACCUCUAAUACCGAUAUAGAUAUCUACAGUUUAGUAUCAGCCCAUACUGAUCCAUUCAGUGCUAAACCUGAAGUUGUACCACUGCCCCUCGGAAUGUUUACUGGAGUUUUCUGCGCAGGUGUUGCAAGUGGCCAUCGAGCUUAUAGGCUGAGGUACUGUGACAAAGUUCAAGGUAGCAAACCCCAUCUUGAAAAGAAUGUGGGCAUUCGCUCAGCGUGUUUAUUUGUGGAUGCGACUCACGGCACAUAGCCUAGAGUUAGACUGAAUAGAUCAGUCCCUAUGCACCAGGCCCAUUGUUCCGAUACCCGAUCUAGAAUGUUCUUCAGUAUUCAGUGUUCUUCAGGACCGAUAUCGAUAUCAAAUAUCUGAUCGGUGCAUCCCUAGCAAAUAAGUUCCUUAAACAUAGUCAAAUCUAGAUUGUUUCAGUAUCAGGUAGAACAACAACAAUCCUACAAGUAUUUGAUGUAUGAGUAGGUGGUUAAAGUAGGACAAUAUUAUGGUUAUAAUGUAUUCAAUUCACAGACGGAAGUGUCUGUUUAUCUCUCAAGAUAAAACAGAUACACACCCAAAAGGUUAUCAACACCAGCCACUUCCUUGGAAGGUUUCCUCAAACACUCAUCUAACUGUCUGGAGUAGAAAAAGUCCACAAUCUAUGAACCUGUGUCCUUAACUGUAACUUAGGUUUGUUAUUGUAACCAACUCUUACUAUCUUUGUGUUUAUAACUUGACAUCAACAUUAAAGAACACCAAACUUGGGCUGUAGUUGUUUCCUAUAUCACUUCAUUUACACAAAAAUUCACUUCAAGGUAUUAAAAUGGCAGUAAUACAUUAAAAACAUAUCCAGGACUCAGGAUAAUGUUGUCAGUUCUCUAUAUCGGUCUAAUCUAACAGUCUUAUGCACACUUAUCAGCCAAUACAUUACAUCCACGAGCCAGACGACCACCCUCUUUUCAGGUCAAGAUCAAAACAGUCCUGCCCUGACGAGACAUUGACUCUCCUACACUCCUGAAGGUGUGCUUUUCUGUUAAACGUCAACAGUGGAUCCUUUGGGUCUGGUGAGUUGUGAGGUGUGGCCUCCAUGGUUCGGAUUGUGUCGUCCAGCACAUCCCUCAGAUGCUUGCUUGGAUUGAGAUCUGGGGAGCUUGGAAAGCACGUCAAGAUUGUUGAGUCCCUCAAGGCCACUUUGUUUCGUUGCUUCAUGUUGUCGCUCUCUGGGGCACUUUUGGUGAUGGAUGGAGGGUAGGCACGGGACCUGUGACCAAGCUGUCACCACAGAGCCCAGUACAAAACAAACUGAAUAUCCUGACAUCUUUCUAUCAAAAUCUGCAUUCACCGCUUUUAGCAUCAGUGAGCUUUGGCUGCCCAUGACCUUGUCACUGGUUCAUUUUCCUUUCUUGGUCCACUUUUGGUAAAACGGGAACACCUGGCAAGAGCUGCAGUUUUAAAGAGAUGCUCUGAUCCAUUUAUUUGGCCUUCAUCAAAGUCGCUAACAUACUUCCCCUGGUCCAUUUUCCUGCCUCUAACAGAUCAGCUUCAAUCACUAAAUGUUCCCACACUGACAGGUGUCAGUGGACGACAUAAUCAGUGUCAUUCAUUUCAUCUAACAGUGGUCAAAAUGUUAAAGCUGAUAUUGAAAAUGGAGGGCUGUAAGUGUGCCUCAGUAGAUAAUGUCUGCAGAGGCUGAAGUCAAUGUUGCAGCAGAUGUGGACUCAACUCAGUCCUCAGCCUUUUUGACAUGUUUUCCCCUGCUCUCACCUCUGAAUGUGUCCUGUUUUCUACAGUGAAUAAAAGUAAAAUGAGAAAAGACGAAUAUUAUCUUUCAAGCUAAAGGCUCAAAAUCGAUCAAUAUAAUCAAGAUUAAACAAUAAACAAUAUCACCAAAACUGUUACUUUAGUUGAAAAUUGACUCUUUUCUGUAAGCGCACUACAAUUAAACCCCAAAUGAAGGAAGUUAAAAGAGAAAAAUGAGAGUUGUUGGAUUCAUAACGAAUAAGUAAGUGCAGCUGAAUCAAAUAAACCAGCUUUCCCUCAAAGUGUGCACGUGAAUCAGUAUUUUAAGUAUUACAUCAUCUGACUUUUAGAGACCUCCUCCUCUUUGGAACAGUUUUUGGAUUUUUUCAAGAUGUCCUCUCAUAUCUUAGAGAGCCGUGUGUUUUCCAGGCAAACUAGCAGCGAGCCAAACUUGACUGCCUCUCCACAUCGGCUGCACACAUACUUCUCAGAUACGGUAGAGGCCCAGGAAUACAUGGAGGUCUGCUCUUAUGUAAUGUGUGUUUUGCAGAGCUGGAAGCUGGAAUAGAUUAAAGGAGCUCAAACAAAUUGAAGUUCAAACUGCAGCCAGUCGCCUGUUUAGACUCUUCUCUCUGGCUGCAUCUCAGUUUACAGCAUCAUUAUUAUGGAACGACAUCACUUUCCUCUUUGGGAAUACGCUACCUCAUUUGCAUGCUCUGUUUUUGUCCCAGUGCUGUCAGCGUGUUUUACACACAUGCACAGUGUGUGGCUUCUGUGUCUUUGCAGUGUGAGAUAGUUUACCAUGAUAGUAUCAAGGGAGAGGUGUAGUUUGCCCUAUAUUAUUUUUUUAAGGAAUACACAGUCAAAGAGAUGAUUGUGAAGGAUUUUUCCAGAAGUUUUAAGCCGUUUUCUGGACAUCUGUGUGGAAUUAACGUGUAGCUUCAAGCCUGUGUUUGGUGCUUUCCAUGGCAACGAUUGACUGACAUUUGAGACCCAGCAGUUCUCGGAGACACAUUGUGAAGUUCCUUGGAGCACCAGUGCCAGCCUGGGAGAGUGUUUAGGUUUCUAUUUCUCUUGAAAGGUAGGAGCUGGCGCUGACUAGCUUCUGCUCGGAAAUAGACACUGUAGAUGCCUCUGCACAUCGAGUCCAUUGUCACGUCCAAAGUCGUCGAUUAUGUUUACACACAGAGUCUGAUACUUUUUAGGGUUUUAUAUACUGUGUUUUUCCUAUCCGUCAAAUACGCUCACCAGUGGAUCCAAAGAUGGCGUUGUCUGUGGCACAUUUUGUUCAGGAAAACUGGUGGUCUUUUAUUGUGUGGUUCCACUAGAAGGGUAUCAAACUGGACUACUAACAUCCUGAAAUACACCUGGAAGUGAUCAGAAUCAGGAGUGGGUGGCCUAGUGUUUUCUUUUUCUUCAAUAAGUGACAGAAAUAGAAAUUCACUCCCACUGCUUUAUUUCUGUGCGUGAAAUUUCAUAUCGGUCUAAAAAGCUUCUGUGAUGACUUUUUUGAAGUUUGUGAAAUGGACCAAAAUUCAUAUUGAUGCCUUUAUAUCAUACUGUAAUCCAAAGUGGAGAGUCUUGCUAGCAUUAGCACUGGCACCUCUUUUACCUCAAAGCAAGUUUGUACUUCCUAAAUCUCUAUACUUAUCCAUAAAAUGGUUUUAAGUACAGUUAACUCUGUCAUAUGUCUUAAAAACCACAAUCUAAUUUAAGCUUAUACUGCACACACCCACCUACAUAAUGCACCCAAUAUCUAUUGUGUUAAAAUAUUGUAAAGUUUUCAUAUGAAACAGAAACAGUGUUUGUUCUCGGUCUUCAUUCAGUUAGAUUGUCCUCGUUUUUCUACCUUGUUAGAUAAAUUGCACUUAGAUCAUACAACAAAUCAGAGCAAAGACUGCUGGGAUGUUUUCACAGACUCGGUCAGUGAAGUUGAUUCUUUUUUCAAACCUGCUCUCUAAAGGAAUGUAGAGCUACAAACAAGCAUAUUUUACAUUGUUUGUGGAUCAGUUCUCUUUUUCAUAACCUCACAGUAUUGGAUUCUGUGAUUUAAAUAAGUAAGUAGGCUGAUACACUGUUUGGCGCCUCAGAGAGGGAUCAUUUGGAGCUGUGCCGUGGGGCGCUCAGAGCGAUGUCUGGCUGUUAUGUAACAGUAUUGGUCCCUCUAGUGAAUGAUGUAAUUGAAUAACCUCACAUGCUUUUAGAAUACACAAUUUGAUAAAGAAACAUAUACUUACACUCCAAACUCCAUUUUUUAAACUUGCAUUUAGACUUUUUCCCAGAUUACGGGUUUAGUUUGACUCCACUGUGUAUUACCCUCCUUUUCAGAGAUUAGAAGUUCACUUUCACUGCUGCAAACUUUGGGAAAUUUUUUCUAACACGCUGAUUUUUAUUCAACUUUUCAAGCUGAUAGUCCAUCUGUAUUCAGAUAGAGCUCUGAUGGAAAUAGCUGCUGAAUACUAAAGCUGGUCAGGCCUCUGUUUCUAUUUGCAUGCAGGGAACAUCGGUGAAUGGCAGAUCUAUAUUUUAAUAACAAUCAUCAUCAAAUCAGGGCGUUACAGGUAGAUAAAAGCUGUUUCCUCUACAGGUGUUUACUCUUGUCAUGUGUGUGUAAGUCCUCUCAGGAGGCCAAGAAGAGGGCGGGGAAAAGAAGAUUCAGGUCACAAUGUACAGUAGAUACAGGUGUUCAGUGAGGUUAGAAUACAUUGAUAUGACACACCCCUUUGAGCUGCGUGUUUACGGCGAGGCUAAGCUAGUGGGUGCAUCAUUCCCAUUAAAGGCAUUGCAUGUACAUUAAAAAUAAAUUAUAACUUGGUCAUUUCUAAACUGAUUUUCAUGUGGUUUACUUUAUUUUCAAUACCAAAACGUGGUAUCAAUACAGGACAUUUGAUUUUUUAAAAAAAGGCUAAAUCAAAUGGUCUGUUUUAAUAGCACAUUAGCAAGUUAUGAUUAUUUUCAAUGUACAUGUAAUGCCUUUAAUAAGAACAUUGCCCCCACUAAGAUGGCAGCCACAAGGGCAUGUUGCUUAGUGGGCUGCUACAGUGCUGGCAUAUCUAGUCUUUAAUACAUAUCUGUGGUUAAGUAGAGGAUACUGUAUAAUGAGCAGAUACUAUUUUGCAAAACCAGCUUCAAGUCAACACUAAGUAUUGAUUUAGAGGUGAUUGUAUUGACUUAAAAGUGGUUUAUUUAUGCCACAAACAUAGUGCUAGUGCUCCCAUGGCAACUGUAUUCUUAUCAACCUAAUUGUGGGUCAAAUUAACAUAAAGCUUAACACUUUCAUUCACAUUAGGUGUAAACAUUAGUUAUAAAUCAUACAAAGUCAAGGCUUUUGUUGGCAUUGAAGUCUUAACAUGGCAGCUCUUGCUAUUUAGAAUUAAUCACCAUUGUUUUGGGAGUUGACCAAUCAGAAUUAAGUAUUUAACACUGCUUGGUGAUCAGAAAAAAAGCAGGUAAUUAACCUAAUGUAAUAUUUUGGUGAUUUUACUCCCAGGUUUUCCCUUUUAAAUCUUUUUUUUUAGCAGGCAGGUGCAGUCAAAAUGUGAAGUUCAAAGAAACAGGCUGUGAGAUUAGACUGUUGUUCAUAAUGAAGAGAGGAACCGGCCAAGGAUUCACUAAUCUUUGACUGUGCACAUUAACAUCUCCACCCACAGCAGGGAUUACAGGCUGCAGUUUUCAAUCAGUCACACUGACGUCUAGCCUUGAGUUGUUCCAUUCAAGUGAAUGAAACUGACGUCAUCUGACCUUCUCUGCAUCCAGACAGGAUCUAGUGUCCUGGUGCUUCAAAACAUUUCCGCUUUUAUUGAACUGAUAACAAUAUUUAAAACUGCUCUCAAGGGAACAGAACCAAAUCAACACAAGCUUUUCUCUUGAGGUUGUAUUUAUUUUAAGGUUUUUAGUCCUAUUUGUUUUCAGCAUGUUUUCUCAGGUGAGGCGUAGUAAGUUGCCUUGGCAUUUACUUAAACAAAUGAAGCAGCUCAUUCAAAGGUUUACACCCUGAAAUGACUCCAGAUGUUGUUCAAAAUCAGUAUCCUUCCUUUGAACUUAAUUUAAGAGUUACUUUAUCUCUUACUUCCCCAAACCCACAUGAUUUUCAUUAGUUUUCCUUCAAAUAUUCUUCAAAUUUGCACAUUUUCCUCUGCACAUGUGACGUAUGAUCCUUCCUCCUUCUUUCAGAGCUCCAUUGAAUUCUUGUCACACGUUUUAAGGGUAUAAAUUCCCCCCUUUUGAUGAUUGAAUGUGACGAAUGAAAAUAGUGCUUGAUGCAUGAUUUUAUCUGUUAAUAGAUUUUCAUAGAAUUCAUCCCGUAACAUCUUUCUCUCUUCCUUACGUCAUCAAGAAGAGUCAGCUGCUGACAGUUGCCCAGUGAGUCAAAACAUGACGCUUGGUGUACUAAUGACUGUUUAUACUGAAACACUAUCCUCUGGCCAUUUUGUUUUGAUAUCCUGUUAUACCGACUGAUGUAUUAUGAAAGUUGAAAAGUACUUCUGGUGUGAGCAGUUUGUUUGAUUUUAGUCUAAAAGCAAAAGUUGCAGCUGAUUCUUUGGUGGCGGGAGGGGGCAGGUCUUCUGAAAGUAUGGUGUUUAUGUUAUUGUAAUGCACCUAUCGAACUUAAGCAUGUUACCAUAGCUUUAAGUAGGGCUGGGGGAUAAAAUGAUAACUAUAUAUAUCGAAAAUUAAUUUCCCUCAAUAUCAAUAUAAAACAUGGUCAAUACGCCUUUCAAUAGCCACCAUUCUGCCAUGUUUUGGUAGACUAUAUGAAUAGCCAAUGAAAAGGGGAGUUUCUCCGGGUCCACUUCGAGCUGAACCAAUCAUGUGCUGAAUUAGCACCAAGUAGCAAACAACUGCAUAGUAGCAGGCUGCAGCUACACGCAACCAUAGAACUUCAACAGGGCUACACCUUCCGAAAGAAGGUCAAAGAGACACAAAGACCUCACAGAUGCUGUCGCUUAUUGUAAUGCAAAAGACAUGCUACCAUAAGCACUGCAAAAUUUCAAUUUUAUAUCGUGAUGUCUAUAUCAACUGAUAUGAAAAAAAUUAUUGUGCUAAACUUUUUGCCAUAUCGCCCAGCCCUAGCUACAAGGGAUGGGAAUUACAGGAUAAGUUACAUGAUGAUGUAUGAUGUGGCUGGUGAUUAUGAUAAAAAUAAUGGUAAAAUAUGAUGAUUCUAUAUUUCAGACCUCCAUCUCAGGUUAUGCUUCACGUUUACUAUCGUUGCCAUGGUUGCAUUCGGUGUGCGUCCUUCUUUGGUCAACCUGCUGUCCAAUUGGACAUAAGGUUGUUCCACGUGAAAAUGGACAGAGCGCAUGAGUGCCUGUUUUUGGGAAGCCUCCCACACAUAAGGACUUUUUAUUGUAAAUAUUGAACACAUUUAAUAUUUACGAUUUCAAGUUUGUGAGGAAGAAAAAUCCCUCUUAUUGCACCACUGGACAAGAUGUUCCUGAGAGAGAUCCAGUAAUCACGCCUUUGCUGACCUUUUUCGGAAGGGGGUAUUUUGGCCCUAAAUUGGCGUGUUAUCUGUGUAGGUUCUCAUUCAUCCAGGUCAUGGUUAUCCAAGAACAAAGGAAGCCUUUUAGAAGAGAGGAGAAAUGUCUUUGAGAACCCCAAACAAGUCCAGUUGCCCUUUCAACUAAGAAUUGGCUGAAUUGGCGUGAUUACCUUCUGGUGUGUACUUUGCUUGAGGUACAGUGUUGAAGUCAAAUUGGAGGGGAAAUUGUGGUUUUUUUCUAACCAAAGAGUAACCUUUCCUUUAGAGCUUGCCAAGUAUUUUUGGUGCCUAACUCUAUCCGUACAUUUUUUUCACAAAACAAAAUUAAAAAUGUGGCUAUUCUAAAACUUUAUUCUGAAUGUCAGCAGGCGAAUCUUUCAAAGUCUUGUUGUUGCUUUUUUAUAUUGGCUACAUGUGAGGAGAAUGUCAUAUUUUGAAGGCUUGUGCUACUGACUGAGCUGCUGUCUUGGAUAAUUUGAUAGUGAGAGUGUGCUGCCAAAAGACUGACUGCUGUAAACACCCAGUAGUUCUGAUUUUAGUGGCAUCAAUCACCAGAGGAAACGCGAUCCUCCGCUGCUGUCAAACAGUUUAGGAGGUAGACGUUGGCACGAACAUAUAUACACUGUCAUGUCAUGGAGGGCAGCAUGAAGGAGAAGGCAAGGCCCUGCUCUACUUCCCAGGUUCCCCGGCUGAGAUGAGUCACUCUUUGCAAACAAUGUGUUUGAUUUUACUGUCAGUUCACCUCAGGCGUGGAGUGGAGAGAACAGACACAAACAGUUUGACUGACCUACAUACUCUGUUUACGUGUCCCGCUGCCGAGCGAGCGAGUGAGUGGAAGGACUUAAGUUUGAAUGGAAACAAACCCACACAUUUAAUAAGCAUGUUUCAAAAAUCCAUUGUGGAGCUGACAGAGCAGAGGAGGAGCGCAAGACGGAUACACACCUUUUUGUCAGUGAGCGGCGGUGAAAGGUAAAGCCCACAUGAGUUCGGUGAUGCUGAUGCAUGCCAGCUCAGUGCAAAUAGGAUGACUAAUCUGACAUGUGGCACCAGUACUGCAACAUAAACCCUCUUCUCACAUUGAAACGUUGGUAGCUUUCUGGCAUCCAAACAAAGGAUCUGUAAUGGCUUUUUCCCACUGGUUUCCAAUAUGGGCUGAAUCUGAGAGGUCAGGAGAUGAUUAGCAGGACAGAAAAUAAGAGAAAUUACACUCUGCCAAACCAAAUUAUGAUGAUUUUUUAAUCUCUGCUUUUCUGUGAAAAAAACAAAGCACAUUACUCCUGUUUUAGACUAAAAUUAUUGUUCUUAUUUGACAGAUUUAUAAAUGGAAAACUGCUCUCAACUUAACACAACUACAUGUUUGUUUAUUUUUGGCUGAGGCAGUGACCAUCAUUGGCAUAGAGGACAUCCAAUCCUUUAUAAUCUCCCUAUAAUUAAUUAGCCAUAAAUCCAAAGAGGUCUGGUGUUGGUGCUCUCUGUUGUUUUCCUAGUUGCAGCUCAGAUUUCCUCUGUCUCCGUGAUGGUAUAUAGACUAAACUUCAUGCUACAGGACCUGUAAACAUCCACAUACGUGUAUAAUCAGUGUUGUCAGAUUUUGCAGCAUUACAGCAAAAUUCGAGCCAUGUUUUCGCUGUAUGAUCCCGUCUCUUUUUCUCCGAGACCUCCUGUGAGAUGAAUUUGGAAGCUGGGUGCCAGCCAAUCACGUAGGUGGGAUUUAGAAUUAUCUUCCUGUGCCAGAGCAGAGGAAAUUGUUGACACAUAAAAUUGCCACAAAAACAGAAACAAGAGGGGGAGAUUGGCAGCUGUACAGGUUUUUGAUAGUCAACUUAGAGAGAUUACAACUGUUAGAAAAGCUGUACUUUCUAUGCUAUGUCUGAAAACAUUAUGUUGUUUUGGGUUGGCUGUCUGUCCCUGCAGCUCGUGUCAGCAUGCAGAGCAUCUUAUUUACUCCUGGAGGGAGUUCUUGUGUCUGUAAGUUUGGCACAAACAUCCGCUUGAAUUUAAGUAUGGAUCGGUCAAAUUUUGGUGGUCAAAGGUCAACAGCCAAAAUUCGUUAUUUUGGGGCUUUGAAGCAAGAUAUUCAUAGAUUUUUGUGGCACAUUUUCAACCAAAUAACUUAAUAAAGGUCCACGUCCAAGCCUCUCAAGAUAAAAGACUCUGGGCACAGCAUGUGGACAUAACACAACAGACCCUCAGUCGUCUGGAUCAUAGCUUUGAAAAUGGUUUGUCUGUUGGUUCUCAUGACAUUACUGAUCCAGAGCAAUGAUGUGUCUAAAAGCACUAAAAUCAGCGAGUUCACCCUCUUAUUUUUAGGAACAGUGAACUGAACUGUUUAAUUCAAAACUCAUAAAUGCACACAUGAGCCCACUCUGAUGACGGUCAAUGGCUGCUCACAUUUAGGGAAAAUCUGAGAGGUCCCAUGAGGUGCUGGAAUUGACUAAACAUUUGAUGUUACAACAGCUGGAGUCAGAUUUAGCGUACCCCAGCAUAUGUCGAACUAUAAAUCUAAUUUAGGAUGCAGAUUUUUAAAAUACUAGAUGUUCAAGUUGGAAGCUAAAUUCUGCAAUAUAUAGCUGAUUUUUUUUCCUAUGUACACUUUGUUAAACAUACUCAAAUUUAAUUGGCUUUUAAAUUCAGUAUGUUUGAUUUCAUAGCAGAAUGCAGUGGUUUAUGUAGUUUAAAGCUCCUGUGAUGAACUUUCAGCUUGUGUUAAUUUAGGCACCCUCAGUGGACCAAGUAGUCUUUGCUUAUCUUAUCCUUUGUCUUUGUCUAAUUUACUUUUUAUAAAAUAAAAAAAUAAAAAAUCAUAAAAAGGCAUUUAUAUGAAUCUCAGUCAAGAAAAAAAAAAAUCCUCACAGGAGCUUUAAGCGAAUAUUAAUAAUUAAAGGCUGGGGGUUGGCGCAUAAGAGGCUCUACUGAAAUAAAUAAGCGCAGCUAAAGAAGAUAAUCAUGAGCUGGGUUAUUUUAUGGACUUUGAGCUUUGUUGAAAAUGUAAAAGGAUGAACUUUGUGAACUAGUUCCUUUUGAUCUGUGUGAAAUGAACUUUGAGCGAGGCUAGUUUUUGUGUGAACUUGCACCACACUCAGGGCUCGACAGCACAUCUGUUUCAGCACAUCCGCAUUUGGGACUAAAAAUAGAUGUGUGCGAAUUGUAAAAUGUAUUUAGGGGCACCUGUGCGCGUAAAAAAAAAUUUUGCCAAGGCAACAAUAUUUCCUAUAAAUACCGUGGCGAAGUUAGUUUUAGGUUGGAUAAGGACAUUCACUGUGGAUCUGCUGGUGUCUUAGCACUCUUCGUAACCGGGAAUAGCAACAGUAGCUUGGUUAAAUCUACACUUGCUAAAACAUCGGGUGUUGAAUAAGGGACUGUCAAUAAAUUAGCGGUUGAUGUUCUCAAAAAGGCUGUUUUCCUUCAUUACUUUCCAUGUCAUGUGACCAAUUGCUCAAAAAUUGAUUGUAAAUAACAGCAAUAAGGUCAGACGAUAAGACACACCUCUUUAUUUCCCUAAUUUGUCCUCUAAAAAAAUUUGUGUUAAAUUUAAAGGCAAAUUUUGAUCAAUUUUCAGUGUGUCCCUAAAGUUCUUUGUGUGCUCCUUACUUUUUCAACUUAGGAGCACAUGUGGCCCUUGUGAAAAAAGUUAGUGUCAAGCCCUGACACUGAACCAGGGUAUCACAGAUCAGACUUUAAAAGUCACAUUCAGUAAUCUUUUCAGAUACACCUUCUUAUAUUUUUUUUGAUGCACGUUUUUUCAGCAUUUUCAGAGUCAGUGCUGGUUCUUCUUUUCCUUUGACUGCUCACUAAUUCAUCACUAUUCAUAAGACACAGAGAUGCAGACGGUACAACACAGGAUCACAUGUUACCAGCGGAGCUCACAGUGCAGUUUAAUGAUCAUUAAAGCAAUGUUAAUGAAAUAUUAAAGCCAUCUUGUCAGUGCAGACUCUCUCCAUCAGCCGCCCGUCAGGGGUUAGAGGUCAGGCUGUCUGGCAGAAUUCAUCAGGCUGAUUAAAAGUACCUGCAGAAGGUUAACGCAGCCGGGGGGCCUCCACAGCCUGGUUACAGCUUAUUUUAUGAAGUAGGAACAGCUUCCUCACCUUUCCUUUGUUGCAUCCUCCUCUUGUGUCAUGCGAAGCAGCUGGUGAAAAGAAAGUGUGAAGGCAUUUGCCGCUGUAGCACGCCGUGUUUAGGUGUCACAGGACGUCCCCUGACACCUAAAUACAGCCGCGUCCUCGCUCAGACAGCCUUGAGUUGUCACUCAGGAGCUCCAGCUGUCUGUCUGGAGAGAUGAUUUGUGGCGCAACACAUCAGACUGAGUAAUUUAUCUUCUCAGGACGGGGAAAUAUCCAUGGAAACAGGUUAGAGUACGGUUAGAUAUGGAGGUUUGUGAGGUUUUUGCAACAUUUAAAGGUUUCCCCUCUGGUAAAAUCAGUAGAUUGGUUUGAUUUUGAGGCGUUUAAAAGUGCAUUCACACUUCACUGAGCUCAGCUUUCUUUUUUCCUUAUUGAGGAGCUUUAAGCAGACUGAUCCUGCUCUCUUUUGAUGUGCUGACUGUCUGUCCCAGGGGGGUUUUGAUUGCCUCUUUACUCCCCUCCCUAUGUAAGUCAAUAGGAGCUAGCCUGCCAUCUGUGGGAAUUGAUACCUCUGCUGAAUCAUACUAUUAAAAAGCUCCUCCAUCUUUCCUUUCCUGUGUCUCUGCUGCCGCCUGCACCCUCUCACCCCUCCCCCUCCCCCUCCCCUCCCCUCCUUUCCUUCUCCCCCCCCUCUCUGAACUCAGGCUGAGGGGUCUUAUCUUACUGCCAGAGAUGCAGAGAUGUGUUUGCCAAUUGGGGCUAAGGCCGUGUUCAGACUGAAAAUAGCUGUGCAUGACUGCAUUGCUGCGAGAAGAUGGCAUAUGAACAUUGGGGUCCAUUUUUAAUAAGAUGAGUGAGUAAGCAGGACUCUCUGCAGAGGGUACAAGACAUGUGACUCUGCAGGAUGGUCCAAGUCUGUCUCAGUUUAGUGUAUCUGUCAUUUUCUUUAAUACCUGGACCCAGAACUGAGGGGGACAUUUUUACUUAUCUAUUUUUUUAACCUCCCUGAGUCUGUGUUUGUUAGAUUUUUGAGAUUUUUGUAAUUUUAAUCUGAUUUUACAAUCUGAAAUAGAUAAGUACUACAAUGUCCGUGUCAGCUGUGGCCUCCUCUGAGGACAAAGCAGUCUUUGCUUUUCUUGUCCUCUGCAGUAACAUCUAAAAAAUCUCAUUAAAGAGACAGAUGCAUCAGUGUGAGAAACACCAGGCUUUGUUUGAUCUGUAAAUUAUGAAAAGCUAUUAAAGAGGUAUAAGAAGGAAGUAUAGAGUCUGAAAAAAAGCAUAAUACUCUCUCUUUGAGGUCUGGGAGCAUUUCACCUGCAGUGCACCAAAGAAAAAAAACUGCCUGCUCUGUUAAACGCAUCAGUAGACUGCAUAGACAGUAUAAAACAUGAGCAUAGCCUCAAUAAAGAGUUUCAAAGCCUGUUAAUGGGGGUUGCUGUGAUAGAAAUGCUGACUCAAUCCAAUCUCGAGUUGACCCAGACACAUGCAAAGAGGUGGAGAUGGGGUGGGCUUCAGCGUUCUCGCCAACAGCUACCUGUCAGUCAAGUCUGCUGUGCACAGAAUAGUGUAAAACUGGUUAAGAAAUCACCCCUGUAUGAUGCACGCAAACAAAGAAAUGAGCUAUUCAGACCAAAUAUUGCUUGUUGGAUCCAGUUGCACCUGAAACAGUUGGUAAUGUGCUCUCAAGUAAAAAUGUGAGAAAGGUUUCUGCAAAUCUAUCUGGGAUUCAGAUAUCUACAACAAUACUUAAAGACUGAUCUUUUUGUUUGUGUUCUUCUUCACAAAGAUGUAUUUAAAGUAGGGUAGAUUCUUUAUAAAACCUUGAGUAAGGUGAGUUGAGAGAGAGCUGUUCCUCCAAGUCUCGUGCAGUUGAAGUUGUUUGGUCGCUCAGCACUAAACUCACACCUUGAACAAAUGUUUAUUUAUUGGUGGGAUUCUUGGCAGCCCAUAAAUUACGUCUCCGCUCCUCCUGUGUCACUUAUUUUAGUUAUUCUUAGAGGACAGUUGUGAAAACAUUGAUAGCGACAACAGAGGAACAGAAGCCGAAGCCAGCUGACACCUCCAGCCUCUAAUGGAGAUACAGUGUGAGGAAGAGGAGGGGUGUGUUUGUCACUGCGGGCCCAGCAGGCUCAUCCCCGUCCUGAUUAAUGGAGCUGUCUGCGGGGCCUCGCAGGGAAAGAGCAGGGCUGUUUUCACAUUUACCAAAGCCCCCGUUUAUUUGCCCACAACAGAUGGGCCCCCUGGGGCCCCCGGCUCAUUUGCACCUCCCCUACCUUCUGCGCUCUGAAUCCUUCAUCUUCAUCAGUGAGCAGGUUUCUGAGCACAGCCACCUGACCCACAGGUGACCUCUGCGACCGUCCACCUUCACAAAGUUAGCAGGUACUCCGAAAAGGAGGUUCAUCACUCUUCAUGUACACUCUCUGCAGGAGUCACUUUCUCCAAGUGUGUUGUGUUGUGAUGUUUCAUGAGUGUUUAUGUGGAGACUAUUUUACUGCAGUACUUCUGUGUUUCCACCCCUCCAGUGUUGAAUGUUGGAGAGAGAAAGAAUACUGUAAUAUUUUAUUUAUGUUCACCCUGAAUUUGGGCAAAUAUGCGGACUGUGGAAUGUUAAGGUAUUGUCAGGAUUCGCGAACAAGUUAAAAUUCGUCUUAUUUUUGCUGUUUUCCUGGAAUAAAGAGACUAAAUUCAAGCUCAAGUUAAAGUUACUGAUUUACUGCUUACUUUAUUUACAACUGUCUGAUCUUUACUGUUGCUUUUAAUGCAAAAAAUGUUGAAUUUUUUUCUGGUUCCAGCUUGAUAGAUUUUAAGCUAUUCUCUUUUGAGUGGUCCUUGAACUUUCAUGGCUAAAUGUGCAAUUCAAAGUUACUCUGACUUUCAGAACUUUUGAUAAUUUCUAAUAUUUUGUAGAAUAAAAUAAAAAUAUGUAUAAAAAAAAAACAAGAUAAAAAUGAUCUGAGAAUAAAAGAAAUUAAAAAAUAAGAUGUACCCAUUUGGAUACUGGAAGCUAUUUGAACACAGAUGUUACACUUGACUUAAAGAUCCAUUAAAUGUUAUUUUCGAUUCUUUUGAGCUAGUCCAGGCAGGGAACUUGAGCUAAAUCAUUUCACCUUAGCUGUUCAUCAUUCUCACAAUCACCUGAUAAAGUACCCUCCCGAUAAGGUGAUUUAUUUAAGCUGUAAGAUUUCUGUAAGAAGUGCUUUACUCAAACGUAGUCCUACCACCUUCCCAGCAAAGCGAGAUAAGAUUUGAAGCCUAGAUGCCAAAAACAUAAACAAUAUUCUGCUGCUGCAAUAAAGUUUUUAUCAGUAUAGCGCAGUCAUUCUGUCAUUUUCCAUCAGAAUUUCAUGAUUUGGCAUUUGUAAGUUGUCAACGUUGGCUCUUAAUAAUUGGAAGUUAUCCAAGUCUUUAUGAACUACAAUAAAACUAUGAAUACAGAAUGUAAUCAGCAGAAUGAACCAGAAUAAGAAUAACCACUUUAACCAACAUCUUUAAAAUCCUGCUCUCACCUAAAUACAUGUCAGUAACCUUAUACUCAAAUGCAUACAGUAACGGCACAUUUUCCACACUCGACUCUUUAAAUCUGAAUAUGUCAGGUACAUUGUAUUCAUGAUGCUGGGUCAUUAUAAUGUGCUCACUCUGCAGAGUGUGUAGUAGAAUAUUUUGACAGUGUGGUAGCUGUACUUUUACUCCAGUCAAGGAUAUUUAUACUUCCCACACCACUUUUGAAAUAAUAUGUUUAAUCCAGUGACUGACACCCCCCCAGAGGAUUAAAUUUCAGGAGCAUCUCAGACAGAAACAGCUUAGGAUCAAGAAUUUCUUCCUGGUAUAUGAGUAGCAUGUCAGUGAUCCAAACACUGUAAAAGUAGGAGUAAAACAGCCAAUUAAACAUUUUCUGCUUUUAGCCACACUGUUUUUCUGUGCCAGGAUUUCUUCCUCAUCCGAAUAAAACCAUGCACUUGUUCUCGUAAAUCUAAUCUGCCAAAUGAGACAAAUGUAGCACCAGACUGAAAAAAAAAAUCAGAAAAAAAAAAGCCUCGUCCCAGAAGCGUCUGUGCUCUGCCAUGUCUCCCGAGCUUUUCAUUCACACAGCAGAUUGUCUUUGUUUGUCUGAAACACUCAUGAUGAAUUCUACAUUGUAGAUGAAGAAGACAGUUUGAAGACUCUCUGUUAAUUGUCACAAAUGGGAUCCUUUUGUUUAAGCCUCAGAUUUGGGGGAGAAUUGAACAUGUCUUAUCCUCCUCUCUCCUCGGCGGUGACAUUGGACAUUGUUUCCUCUUCCUGCUGAUGGCUGUUGUUCUUUUCAGUAUCAGGCCGCAGCAGCAGCAGGACGACACUGUUUCAGUUGCUGCUGAUUCACCACAGAUUAGAUUGUGUCCCCCGAGCAUGAGAUUGCAUGGUUUCACUCUGUAACAUUACCCAUAUGCUAUAGACUAUCAUGCGUAUUAUACAUGGCUGUUUUGACCACUGACUGUAAAGACACAACUCUUUGAUGUCUCCUCACUGGUCUAUACAUUCAUACUCAGCCGUGUCCAAAGCAUUCGCACCAGAUUUAGCAAAACCCCGACUUCAGAUCACAUUUAGCAAAAGCCUCCUGAUUAUUCCCCUCAAAGUUGAACUGUGACUGACCCAGGCACUUUUUCUACUUAGCAGGGAGUGAAACAGAUGCUCCAUUUGGGAGAAUUAGCUAGAUCUCCAAAUGUAAACUGAUUAAGGAUUAAGAAUAAGAGAGUGGAGUCAAUCCUGCUCUCACAGCUCUUUUUCCCUUCACGGCUCACUUGCCUCUUUUUUUUUUUCUUUUCACUCCCGCCUCUCCUCUUUUCUGCAGAGCACGGCUCUGGUAUGUCCAAAAAAUUGUCUUUGGACUCCGUUUUGGCUCAACACGGGUUUAAACAGCCAGGAGAUGUAGUUUAAAAUGGUCGCAGUGGUUGUUUGGGUGCAUGACUAAAGAAGGAAGCAGCUUAAAGUCUUAGACUUAACAGUUUUUCACACCUCAAGUACAACCUUUUGGCAUUGACCAAAUACAGGAUUAAUUGAUUUAGUUAGCUAGCAAAUUAGCCAAGGACUAUCUCCUUGUGUUCUUCUAAAACCUUUGUUUUUUUUAAAGGUUUUUGCCAGUUUGGUUUGAAACAAGCCAUCUUAAGGUGGGAAUUACACAGCCAUGACAUUAAGACUAAUGCCGGCUCUCCCCAGGUUUAAACUGGCACAACACAGCUGAUGAUUUGAAUACAAGACGCAUCCUGCUAUGUGUCUGUGAGGGCCAAGUGACAUCCUCUGAGAAUGAAAAAUGUGAGGUACUAGGACUGGGUGAUUAUAUGAUCAUGAUUGAUGAUCGUGAUAAAUUUCAGUUCGACCACAGUGAUCAGCUGUGUUUUUUUACUCGAUCAAACAUAGUGGAACUGUGCGUCACAACAGCCAAUCAGAGUCAAGCUUUUCCUGCUCACUUCUGUAAGUUGUCGGAGAAGUAAAUACCGAACGUGCAGCGUGGAUCGGACAAUAUGACAAAAUAUAUUGUGAUCUUUUUUUUCUUUUUUUGCCAAAUCGCCCAGGCCUGUGAGGUAUCCAAAACUGCAGUUCAUCAAAUGGCCACUGGGAGCUGGAACCAAAAGUGAGACAUUUCCUAUAGAGGCCCAUCUGAAAAUGCACAGAUUUACUGGAGUGUCAAACAUGUUUACUGCCUAUUAUUAAAAAAACAAAGCUGAUAAAACAAAGUUAUAGUAAAACUGUUUUAUCAGUUUAGCAGAAAUCUCUUUUGAUAUUUUAAUGAGUUACUUCUAGUGGACUGGGCUUCUAGUCGUUCCUCCUGAUCUGGAUAAAUCAGUUUAGUUGGCUGAGAAGGGACAGAUGGCAACCCUAACUAUACCAAUGAGCAACAACAGCUAUCUGCUUUGGUAACACACCAUACCAAGCUUAACUGUUUCACAUUUUGCUUUAUAAUGCACAUUUACAGCCGUGUUUUUUCACUUUUAGAAUAAGGGCUUUAUUACUUUUUAUCAGGUAACAACUUUUAAGGUUUUUUUUUAAUCAGUGUAAGUAAAGUGGUGUUAAAGUAAACCUCCUUUGGUCUUGGAAGUAGAGAUAGAUAAAACCAGCCCUAACAUGCCUCUGUACAUGUAACUCUUUUGUGAUGCUGAAUGGAUUGCUUCCAGCUGAUCAGAUAGCUCAUCGUGUCUGUCUGCGAUCCUUCACAUGGUAAACCAGCCAAUCUCCGUCUAAUCUCUUUGGGCCUGAGCCAACUCUAAACGCACAGAUCGCCUCUUUUCACAGAGACGGCAGCGUCAGCAGGGCUGUGCUGCUCCUCUGAGCCCCCCGAGCAGACCCCAGGGUCACUGUCUCCCAUGCCCUGAAAAGGAGGUUGAACCUGUGGGACCUGGCCUGGAAAGUGUCCUGGUACUCAUCAGCUGUUGGAGGUGUUUUGUCUACAAGUUUUUCUUUUUUUCAUUCAUUUACUUUAGUGUGAGCGCGCCUGUAACAUUAAACAAGCAAGGGGCUGAUGUGUAAAUAUUUAGCCUUGCAUGUUUGAGCCAGUUCAAAGGCGGCAGGAGAAAUGAACGCUCUUACCUCUGCUCUAGAUAAAAGACACUGAUUUAAACACACUUAAAGAAACUUCACAUGCUUUUAUUGUGAAGGGAUUCAUCAGAAACCUGCUGUUAAUGUAGGACUAUAAGCUUCCAGUUUCAUCUCUCCCACCAGAUUUAUGUGCCUCAAAUUCAGACUCCUGUGUCCUAAAAAGCUGGGCUAGUUAUUGGUUGUUCCUCGAAAUGAAAGGCAUGUUGGAGCCUGUUUGAGGACAAGGUACUAGUCUGGAUGCAGGGUGAAAAGUCAUGGUAUGAGAGGUCACUUUAGGCACGAGCUUAGCUCUUGUAAAACACAGACUGAUGUCUAGACAGUCCGGUCAGAAAGAUCAUGACCUUUUUUUGAGGGACUGUGUGGGAAGAACGGCUCAUGUGACAUGGUUUAACCUCCUCAUUUCGACAUAUUUAAUGCUUACUUCGCAUCAUGUUUCAUUGUUUUUCCAUGAUGUUUUACAAAGAAGUGUCCACAUACCCAGAUAUUGAUCAAUGACUAAGACUUUUCAUCAUGUGGGAGCUAAUUUCCUCUGUAUUACAAUGUUAUCUUCACAGCACAUGCCAAGAGUGUUUCUCCUCCUUCCUCUGCAUGUACAGCCUCAAUGGCUGCCCUGAAGGCACAAGAAGUACAAGAAAUACCUUGUGACAUUUAAAUAAAUCUGAUAUAUGUUCAUUAUCUCAGGCAUCAGAUAGUUCACUGUUGGGUCAACCACAUAAACUGACAUCAUGGAAAAUGUCAAAGCUGUCAAAGAAGGAAGAGGUUAACUUCAAAAGACUCAGAUAUUUCUCACAUUUAUUCAUUGAACCCUCUUUUCCUUGAAAUGUGAGAUCUCCUCCUCUAUGAAUAAGAAGUGAAAGUUUGCAGGAUUUCUUUUCCUUUCAAGGAAGAGUAGUGACCUAAGAUGUGGGAAAACCCACAUUAAAAUUCUUUCCUGAUUUUCUGAGGAUGAUAAUGGUGUCGUUCUUACAGCAGGAAAUAAACGCGCUCUGUCACAGUGCCAAUGAGAGGCCUGGUUGUUCAUUAAUUGGAUUUGUGGGAUGUUUCUUAAUGACUGGAAGUGAAGAUGAAAGCAGAAUAAACAGGGUGAAAUUCCACGCAUGCCGCUGAGAACAGUAAAAGCUGUGCAUAGGAAUCAUCUGCCUUUUUAAAACUACUCUGACUGUGUCAUUUAACAAUUUCACACAAAUGUACUCAUUUCCUGAGGAAGUCAUUACAGCAGUGCACACUGAGGACGGUGUCUGUGGUUUAUCAAAUUACAUUAAGACCCAACAUGACCCCUAAAAAAGCUGAAGUGUGUAUUUUUUGUUUUAAGAAAGUUUUCUCUCUUACUUCGUAAAGUUACUGUACUUAGCUUGAACUUUUGCACUUCCAUUGACCUCCAACUACCAACAAUUAUUUUAAUUUUUUAUCAAUCUUCUUGCCAUGUCACACUAAAACGUUUAGUGGUAUAUAAAUAGAAAUUAAAUAAAAUGUGAAAAACUCAUAAUUGAAUUUGUUAGCCUCAAACGACCUCUUCUAUAUGAAACAGGAUGUGAUAUGAUACAACAGGACAUGGUACUGUGUGAACUAUACAAUGCCAAAUCAUUCUGAUAUCAGAUUUUCACCUCAUGAUUAUCGUAGCCAUCAAAUACCAGGAUGACUUUAACAUCACUGUAUUUAUAAAAAGAUGAAAUUCAAAACAGCACAGAAGUAGAACUAAAAAAAAGGAAGACAAGUAGAGCAACCUAUAAGAAAUGUUUAUCAGGAGUACAAGUCCACUUUCAUGUUGUCAUCCAUUUCUGAUCAUGGUCAAAUUUAUGAUUUAUUUCCAUAAAUAACUGAAACUUCAUUAAAAAGACAAUAUCUCAUUAAAUGAUUGAUUGUCCUGCUUUAAAGAGAUAAACCGGCAUGAAAUUAAUGUAGGGUCAAACACACUGUAACACCGAGUUAGACACCCCCUCGAGAGAUGGAUGUUGCUGACCGCUUGUUUCUCUAGUCACUUCACUUUAGUCACGACCGCACGAUAGCAAUACACAGCGGUCUGAGGAGCCAUAAACAAACCUCAAACAAAAUGCCACUCUAUAGACACAAAUAAUGUUCAGAACAGCACCUAACUUCAUCAACAGUACAUAGAUAACUUUGCCUAAUUUCUUUAGCAAAGAGACUAAACUCAACUCACCUACUCUCCUCCAGCAGCCGCUUGUUUGUAGCAAGACCUGGGGCCAGGCCAUUAUGGACUACAGUGGGGGGACGCAGCUUAAGGAAGAACAUUUAUGAAUAUCCCUUUAAUUUGAAUAUUUUUCAGUCUUGGUUUUAAGCUGUUUUAUUUCCUACAAUGUCAAAGUACUUUUUUAAUUUUUAAAGUAUAAGCGUCCUUUAAGAUUAUCAGUUUCAAUGCUGAAUGACACCAGUUAAAAGUACAGUUAGUUCUUUACUUAGAAAGUGCAAAUUAUCAUGUUUUUGUGACCUGAAGUGACACAAGCUCUAACUUAUACAUAUAGAUUUACAACAUAACAGGAAAUUUCUCAUUUUAAGAUGUGUGGCAACCAGUGGAAAAUAACUGUAUGAUCCAUAUGAUAAGAUCUAAUAUGAAGACAUGACCUAACAUGAUAUGUCACACUUCAUUGUGUAAAUUUUGUCUUCCUUUCCAGUGCUGCAGAUUAGUAUCAGCCUUCAAAGUGAAAAACAGGAAGACAGACAGCAAUCUAUGUAAAUAUGAGGCAUGUAAAUGUACACAAACAGCAUAAGUUGUACUUUAAACUGCCUGAAGCCAAAAUAAACACAAUAAUUAAAAAGGAUCAUCUCAAACUGGAAGUCUUUAAAUCUUCAGCCAAAAAACAACUGAUGCUACAACCAGCAAACAAUUAAAAUAUAAGUUUUAAACAUUUGAAUAAAAAGAUAAAAGUUAAACUCAAGAUUUAGCCUUAGCACUUGAUUAAAUGUAAUAUUCUGUAAACUGUAAGUAUAAAUAUUUCUGCGGAUCAAUGGUUCUCAGCUUUUUCAGUUCUGUUUCCCUCUCUCUUUUUCUUGUUCACUGUUCUUGGUUUACUUAAUGUUGAGGUCAGGUAAGGUCAGAGGAUAGGGGAAAACCUUACAGUCCAAAUCCAAAGAUAAUCAUGCUGAAAAAACACGAGACGAAGACAAUGAGGCGAAUUCUCACAUUUAAGAAGCUGGUGACAUCAAAUGUUUGACGUUUUCCUCAACGAUGACUCCAACGAUUAUCUGAUAACCAAAUAAAUUGACCCCAUUGUGCCAGUAUCUGUAGUUCUCACAUGAUCCGCACAGCAAUACCAACACGUGGGAGUUUCUAGAGGAAGUCGCUUAAUUGAGGAUGUCCUUCGCCUGGAGGACGAAUACUAAAUCCAUACGCGAGAGGAAGAGACGCCGAGCUGGGGUGGAGCCGUUUACACCAAAAGAAAAUCCUUUUAAUUCAGCCUAAAACUUGAGGGAAUAUGAGAGUUUGGGGAAUACUGAGUAUACAUUAAAGAGGCUUCAAAUCUGCUAGUGAUACCUUUAAGCCACUGGCUGAGUAGUAGCAGGCUUUGUGUGUUUAUUGUCAUUAAUUUGUAUGUCUUUUGAGUUCAAGGGCUUACAAGUUUUGUAAGGAACAUGUAUAACAUUUUGGUUCAUUAUUGAAUGACUCAAAAUGUUUUAAUAAAACUUUAAAAUAUGAGUUUUGCAUUCCUCAGACCAAGCACCGGACUUGAGAGAGCCUUCUCCGCUGCCACCCCCACUCUCUAAAAUUCACCCCCCAAACCCAUCCGAGACUGUACUGACCCCCACACUUUUAAAUCACUCCUAAAAACACACCAUUUUGAAUUGGCUUUUAAUCUGUGAACUGUUUUUUAUUGUCUUCUCAUAUUGUGUCUUUUUAACCUUUUACAUCCUUGGUUUAUGUCUAAAAACUUUCUGUAUUCUUUUUCUUUGUAAAGUGUCUUUUAGCGCCUGUAAAAGCACGUUAUAAAUAAAAUUUAUUAUUAUGAUUUAUUAUAAUUUAUUAUGUGCAGAGACAAAGUGAAAUGCUCAUUGUCUACUGUUUGAAUAUUUCAGUCUUUCUCUUGUGAUGAAUGAAAUGCUGAAUCUGAGGGUCGACCCAAACUUUGAAGAACCCACUCUGUAGUCUGUGAUCAGAACUUUUUAAUACUCAUUAGACCCUCGAUGGAGUUUCUCUAUAAAUUUUAUACUGUGGUUUACAAUUUAAAGCUUGUUUUCAGAGGUAAAAGCUCUGCUAACUUCAGUUUUCUUGUGUACUUCUGAUAAGGAGAAGAUAUGGAUUGCUGUGGGACUUGAGCAAGAUUUAUGACAGAAAAUAAGAGUCAUUCAUCUCUAGUGCCUCCACACAAUUUUACAACCCUGGUCACAUUUUCACUUUCACUGGAUGCUUCUCAUGUGACAGAUCUUAUAUCAAGAGGAAGUUUAAGAAACGGACAAGGAGAGGGUCUACAUCCCUCAGCUAGUUUCACUUCAGAUCCUGCGGCUGCGGUGUGUGUGUGUGUCAAUACUUGUCAGAAAAGUGACAGUGCCGUUCGCCAAAAAAUUACUGCCUGAAAAUCAUUCCAAUAAGCCAAGUUUCUGUCAGUCGUCUGUAAUUUGUGGACGUUUCAUGAAGGACUGUCAUUGUUUCAGUCAAGGCCGUUUCAGCAUCAUAAGUUCUCCGGGCUGAAAGCUCCUGUCUCGCUCCUCUUUGUCCUCGCUCCUUCAGAGAGGGAAGAGGGAGUUAAAAAAAAAAAGCGGGUGUGCAUUCAUUCUGGAGCUGCACCUGUUGAUUGGAGAGUACGUCUUUCCCGUUUUACGUCUUGGAUUUACGGCCUUCAGCUGGGGGGCAUGGGAGGGGAGAACAAGGAGGGGGCGACCUUUCAUUGGGGUUCUUUGGGGGAGCCGUGGCAGCUGUGAUGACUUCACUGACUCCUCGUGUAAAAAGACAUUGAGGAGGAGGAGGACGCCCCCCGCCUUCGCUCCCUCUCUCUGUACCUUGAACCUGAUAGCGGCCUGAUUCGACACGCCGCCUUCAUCAGCUGUUAGCUUCUAUCUGACUGAGGCGACCUUAAAAGACAUAAAAAGGCGAAUUUAUCUCCCCUUAUUUGUGUCUUUUCACGCCGCUGAAAGACUGAUAGGAAGAGAUCGCUAAAAAGUCCCCCCGCGUUUCAUAUGUGUGGUCUUUGACGGCAGAAAAAUGACUUUUUUAUGAGACCAGCAGCUGCGUGAAAAGAAACAUUAGCAAUGCUGACUCAGUACAAAGAGCCGCUAAGAAAUCCGUGCCAAUCUAUCUCUGGUUUGGCAGCGAGAGAAGCGAGUAUGAAGAGAAAUCUCCGCUUUGUAAAUGAUGAUUUUAGGAAGUGCCCCAUUAGCGAGCAGCUCCUUUUCCCCUGCUGGCUUCCCUCUGGAGCAGCUGUCGGUCAGCGUGUCAGUGGGUAAAUCUCUCAAACACAGAUCGCUAAUGAGGCUGGAGCUCUUGAGAACAGCCUGGCCUUGAACGCAGCAUCAUCCCCUGUGGAGUGAUGAGGUCCUCCCUGAUAUAACACAAGACUUUUAAAGCCUCAGAUGUCUAAAUUCGGCACCUUUACACCGUUUCUUCCUCUGCUUAAUCUACAAGAGUCUGAAGGUCCCAUCCUGGUGGUCUUUGAAACUCAGAACAGUCCAGUUCUGACCCUUAACCCUCCUCCAGGGUUAUCCUAGCUGCCUGUUAACCCUCCUGUUUGUCAAACCAGUCAAGAGGUUUUCGGGUAAUGAGCUUGUCCUCGAUGAAAGAGGUUUCGCAGAUCGCGGCCCGAGCAGCUGGAGAAGCCGCUGUUGGCGUGAACGCUGCUGCACAUUCCUGCUGGGUCACGUUUCACUAAGAGAUGUGGAGCAGCUGGAGAUGGACGAGUUUAGUAACGGGUGACUCAAAGGGGCUGACGUUGCUUUUUUUUUUUAGCGUGUUGGAAGUUCUCUGCAAACUUAAUGUACACCGUGAACCGAGGAAGUGGAUUCAUGAGGGAGGACUUUUACUGAGGGGCUCUGGAGACCACACUCGUUUAAUUUCUGAAUACACCUUUUGUUUGAUUUUUGCCUCUUAACGUGUAAAAAUGCUGCUUCUGCAUUUUGUAUGUGAGGUUAAAACAUUAUUACCAUUACCCUGCUGUGUUUAAUACUUGACUGUGAUUGGUCAAAACCUGGUAAUUAGUUCUUAAUGGCAAAAGUGACGCCUGAGGAAACCUGAUUGUACACUUCAUAUCAAACUAAUCUGCAAAAAGGAGACCAACACAGUCACCCCUUUGUAAGUUGACACUGUGGCAAAAACACCAGUUUUCUCAGCAGUCUAUUGGUUAUCACCAAUUUCCUAUACUUAUCUCAUCAGACAGUAAAGAUGAAGUGCACUUUAUUUACCUUAAAGGGAUUUUCCAGGGUAAAAUUGAGUCGGGGUAAAACACACCGUAACACCCACUCUCUUCCAGAAGCUGCUUGUUUGUAGCGAGACCUCAGGCCAAUUCAUUAUGGACUACAGUGGGGUGACGCAGCUCAAAGAAGAACAUUUAUGAUCAUUAAAUGAUCAUAAAUGCUCUUCCUUGAGCUGCGUCCCCCCGCAGCAGUUGAUGGACUCACCCGGAGGUCUCCGUACAAACAAGUGGGUGCUGAAAGAGAGUAGGUGAGUUGUGUUUAGUCUCUUUGCUAAGGAAAUCAGGCAAAGUUAAAAAGAUGUUUGGUGGCUCGUGCUGUGGCUAGGACCCUAUAUGUCCUGUUGAUGAAGUUAGGUGCUGUUCUGAGCAUUAUUUGUGGCUAUAAAGUGGUGUUUUGUUUGAGGUUUGUUUAUGGCUCCUCAGACUGCUGUGUAUUGCUAUCGUGCGGUCAUUACUAAAGUUGGUAUAACUAGAGAAGAAAGCGGUCGGCAACAUUCAUCUCUCGACGGGGUGUCUAACUCAUUGCUACGGUGUGUUUGACCCUAACUUAAUUUUACGCCGGAAUAUCCCUUUAAAAUGCUUACUGUUGACCUUUAGUCCAGUCUUUAUGCUCUUAAAAUGUCUGGGAAUUAUCUGGAGCUUACUUUGAUACUAAAAUGGUUUGAAUUUAGUUUGUUUCCUCUUACUGAAGACUUAAGAGACCUGUUGUCUCAAUGGAUGGAAAACUUGUUACAGCUCUGACUUUAUUUCUGAAAUUGUUGAUCUAUUUGCUCACGCAGUCUCUCACACAGAGAAGAAUCCUUACCUCCAAUCACAUAACUUCAUUACUUGGGGGAAAUUCCUUCAGGCAUUCAUUCAUUCAUUCAAUCCUUUAUUAGUUUAUUCUUUUUUAAUUAUUUAUUAAUUGGUAUGUGACAGCUUCUUUAGUGUGUUGUUGUCUCUGUCUUAAAAAACACUUCUGGCAUUAAACUAAAUAUGAAUAUAUUUUUCAUAAAACAGUAAAAAUUUCAAGUAAUUUGUCAGAUAAUUAUAGGGUUUAAAUGUUCGACUAACAUCAAAUUGUGUCUUUAUAAACAUAAAAUGCUGUCUGAACUUUUUUGGAGUUGGGUUUUAACUUGGGUUGGAAACUUUCCCUCAGAGCGUGUUGUUAUCAAAUGUGUGCUCUGCUUAUCUGAUGAAACUGGAUUUCCCACGGAGCCAGAGUCACAGUGGGAAAUCUCUCCUGCCUGUUAAAGCUGCAGUAAGUUUGUCAGUUGUUCAAAUAAAAGUGUAAAACACCAUCAGGUUCAAGAUUCGAGCGUUCACGAGAGCUGCUGCACGGUGUAAGGACUCAUGAGACUGACUGCCUCUGAGCAGAUUUCAUCUCCAGUUUUAGCUCGGAUACCAAACCUCCGUAAAUAGUGUGAGAUCACGUGAGAGGAGGCGUGGUGCCAGCAGGCUCGUAUAUGUUACAACCUCACCCACAUUCUUGAUUUUUUUUUUAUGACAGUCCGCUGGAAACAUGCUUUCUCUGACACGUGGCGUCAACGCUUUUACAACCUGUCAGCUGCUUCACAUGUCAGCCUCUGUGUGAAUGGUAGAGGAGCUCCAAAACGCUCAUGAAUCACAGAUGGGAGUGGCAGAAACAGACGCAGCAUCACGGUCAAUCCUGAAACCUUAGAGGCUGAUUAUUGCCCUGGAAAAUAUCUAGAUUUGUCACUCUUGAAGGGCAUAAAUUUCCCCCACUUAUUCAGUUAGUCAUUCAUUCAUAAAUUGAUGCUCGAACCAAAGAAAGGUUUUAAAGUUGGGACAUUUUUUCCUGUAAUUGUCCUUAUUGUGUCUCUGUAAUGACAGUAUGGAGAUGUCGAAAAAGCAAUUCACUUUUAUCUAGAUAAUACUGAACUGGAAGGAUUUUGUCUUCUACAGCCACGUUUUCAUACUAGUUUUUUGAGCAGGAUCGCCAAGAUUUUCGAUUCACUACUGGUACAACCAUAAGGUUCAUUCUGUAAACGUCAUUGCAUGUGUCUUUGUUUAUGGUCGUAUUCAAAGCCUGUUUUUUUCCGCAUCUUUACAGGCUGAUUUUUCUACUAAUGAACAAACAAGUGGCGUCCUCUGGCGUUGUUAUUGAACUUUUUAUUUUUCCCCUGACAUCCCACUCAAUCAUGUGGCGACUCGACGCCUUCAGCAUGUUUUACAUUUACGCGUUCCAGGGUGAAUUUCCCCCGGCACAGAUGCACUCACAAUGACACUGUGGGCUCAGGUGCGGUGACAGGAAGUGGAGGAGGAUUUUCAGAGCUGAGAGCAAAGCUGUCCAUUACAACGUCAGUGUCACUUCAGUGAAAGGUUGCUCUCUGCUUUACCGCUGAAGGCGACUCUAAACUGUCAGUGUUUGAUGCAGUGAACAUGGAGUCACUGAGCUGAUCGAUGUGUGUCAGCCACAAACCUGAGUGGGGCAGAGCUAAUGCUGUUUGAGCCGACUUUGGUCUGAAAGCCACAGGACUCUCAAUGCUUGUCUGGUGCUGAAUUCGAGGAAAUGACCACAAAGGAAGAGUGUUUAACUGUAAACUGCAAGCUUCAUUAAUAUAACUUGAGUAGCCAGUUUCAUAGGUGCACUUUGAUCGAACUUAUGCACGUAAAUUCUCAUCAUACGUACUUAAAUACAGCUUACAUCUGCAAAGUUUGUCCUCAGUUUUCUCUCACUAAGCCUUGUGUAAGACCCGUGUGUGGAUUUUUUUCAACUGUCUUAUGUGAAACCGUUACAUAUCUCGUAACUGUUGCAGCAUACUGAUAGGUAUUUUUGUGUGAUUAAGCUUCCUGGUAAUAUCAUUGGGGUUGAAAAGAAACUCAGUUGUUGGUUUCAACCCAAAAGUUGUUGUUUACAGUCUUUAACACUUAGAACUCUGCUGGAUCGCCGGCAAUCCCAUUUUACACCAUUAAUAUUGUUUACAGUUUCUCAGGAACUAUACUGCGUAUCUCUAUGGGAUGAAAAGUGUUCAAAAAUGCUGCUAAUGUCUUCCGGGUUUGACAAGCUGUUUUGAUGACGUCUUUUUCUGUCAAACUUUCAACCAAUUACAUGGUCUCAUAUUCUUCUUCUAUUGUUCCAUUGAUGGUAGUGUCCAAUAAGAGGCAACCAAAGAUCAACAAGAGACAAGAAAGUUCCCUGCUUGUCUGCAAAAUGAGAAAUAAUGGUCCCCAAUGCUUGGAAACAAGCAAAGAAGAGAUUAUGAGCAGUAUGAUGAUCUCUGUCUCAUCCCAGACAGGAACUGCUUCAAAGAGUGGCAUAAACAACCGUAAAUAGCAAAAAACGCCUGGAAGAAUUAGUAUAAAUAUGUAAAUAGUUUCUGUUGUGUGUUUGUUCCAAUCACAAUAUUUCUACUCCUGAUAGUCAAGACUUGACAGAAUGAUGUGCAGGUGGGAAAAGGCUUGGUCACUUUAGAUUUAUGUGUUUUUUGAUGGAUCUGAAUCUACCGUCACAUUCAUUUUACAUAAUUUUUGCUCCCAUCACUACAGAAGCAUCUCUACUAAUAAGUCUGGUCCUGCUCGGGGUUUUCUGCCUGUUUUAAAGAAGCUCCUCUGUGUCUGUCUGAUCAUUCUGACAUUAAAAGUGACUAAUUGUAAAAGUGACACCUUAUAACCGUAAAACAUGAGAUGAACAUUUAUAGAGAAAUAAGUCAAUCUUCCAACAAGAGAUAAAAAUGAAUUCAUAGGAAAGAAAACUCUCGACUCAGCCCACUCAGGGGUUUUUACUGCUUGAUGUGGUGAUGCAGAUUGAAUAUGAUGUUUUUCACAUGGCUGAGUCACUCUUGAGUUUUUGACUCUGCUUGGGUUUUUUGCAUUAUAAGUCAUCGUCACAUAAGCUCUUAAAACAACAACAACAACAAAAUUCUGAAAACUUAUGAGAAAUCCUGGUGUGAAUGCAAACGGUCAAAUUUUUCACUUCAGCCAUGUGACGGGUGUUCUGCUGGUUAGAGAAAUGUUACCGCAGAGAGAAGUGACAGCAGACGCUGUGAGUUUGCACUUUUUAUUCACGUUUGAAUGACCACAAGGGCAAGUGUAGAAAAAACUGUUAUUUCAGAUUUUAGGAGAAGUGUGUCUCAGUGGACCAAUCUUGACAUUAGUCUAUUAAGAGAGUGUUUUUCUUGCUAAUGUGUUUGUCGAUUGUUUUGGCAUGGGAAGUAUGGUGCCUUCAAGUGGAUACUGAAGUUUUGGAAGGAAGAGCUCCUGAAAUUUUCCCAACAUUUUCCAGUGUGUGCAAAAUCAGCUGUAUACUACACUCUAAAAACUCUUGGGUUAUUUCUUCAACCCAAUUACUGGGUACUACAUGUUGAAUUAAAUUAAAUUUCUGGGUUAUUUUUCAGAUCCAUACCCAUUUCAUGGGUCAUAUGGAUUCUAUUGUAACCCAAUUUGAGGGUUUUUUGAAUGGGUUAAUAAUUAUGGGUUAUUUUUCUGAGAGUAGCCCAAUAAUUGGGUCAGAACGUUGGGUUCGAUUGACUCUAUGUGGUUUCUUGGGCUGUGUCCAAAAUGAAUCACUCAAUCUCUAACCUCCAUAAGGGGUUUCAGUAUAUAGUUGACUAUGUAGUGAACUCAAUCACCCGAGGUUUCAGACACGACAUGGCAAGGCGCAAUGCAUGACGGGAUGCCCACCACCGGUGAUUGACCAUCGGAUGGUCACUACAUUUUGCAAUGCUCUGUGGGAAAUUUUGGGUCGCCUAUAUAGGGCACUGGAAUUGAUCACUCAGGUUUCGGACACCUCUCAAAAUGGCGCUAACCCCCAUAUAGUCACCUAUAUAGGGGUUGGGGAUCCAUUUCGGACACAGCCUAAGCCUAAUGGCAAUUAAAGUGACCUGGUGACAUUGUGAACUUUGACCUUGAUUUUAAAUAAUAUAUAUAUCUUUUGGCUGGGGGUUCAAAUCCUGCAUGCGACACAUCUGUACAGAGCAAACUGCAUCCACCAGUGUGGGUCCCUAGCCAAGGCCCAUAGCGCCAUGGCUUACAAUCACUUCGAUAAAAAUACACGGGAUAAUAGGGUACAGGUUGUAAAAGCAAAGCUCCCAAAAAAAAAGCUCUCCAAAUGCAUAUAUAAAUUUAACCCAAGAUCAUGAGUCGAAUUAACUCGAAGAUUGCGUUGACCCUUAAAAAAGGGUUAUUGAGUCAACCCAAAAUUUGGGUUUAUUUGAAUAACCCAACAUUCGGGGUCAAAAUAACCCAAGAAGUAGUCGGCCCCUUUUCAACCUGGGGGUUUUUAGAGUGUACUAUUUCUUCAUCAGUUUUAGGUUUACCAAGUUCAGUUUUGAAGCCAAGGAGUUAAAGUUUAUCAUUUCCAGUCAGAAAACAUACAAAAGACAACAAUCAUUCUCUAUUCCAACUCUUACUCUAACUGUCAGCUUCACCAGAUGUUUGACACUUGACUUGAUCAGAUAAACUACUUAUUAUGUGAAUUUGUCUUUACUCAAAAUGUGAUUAAAGAUGAGUGUUUAUUGUCCUUUCUGCCAGUUAUCUGGGUUUCACAGUAACUGUACCACUCAUAGUGAGAAGGAGCGGCUGAUUUUCAGAGAUGAAAGUUUGGUCUUGAUAACUUGCAUUAUGACACCAAAGUUAGCCCACACUCACUCAUAUCAGUACUUAAACAUGCUCUAUUUGUUUUCUCUGUUUUGCAGGUCGGUGGUGUUGCAGACCCCCUGUGCAGAUGCAGGCGUCGCAUUGCCGCGAACUGAAGAGGCAGAGCUGAAUGGAGAAGAUGCGAAGGCGGAAGCGGGCAGAGUUAAUUCAGUUUCACAGUCUUAAUGAAUCGCACACACUUUUACACACAAAAACAGAGAGUACAUGGUUUUAAUACUAUCCACUUCCCUCUUUCUGUGAGAGGACACACACAGGCACCCUGAAUGGGCCCCUGUGGUGAUCAGCUCUGUGGUCGGGAAGUACCUAGUGUUACAACUGUCACGCUGCUCUGCUUAAAGGGACAGAGUGGAGCGUUUUCACAUGCAGUGUCCUUUCUGAAUCAAACUGUACAUCUAAGAUCUGCUGAAGGGUUUAAAAAGUCUGAGAGCAUGAGUCAAGUAACUCGAAGUUAAGACAUGUUUUGAAUUUAAUUCUAUUUCUAUCUAUUGUUUAUAUAUGUGAUUUGAAGGGUUAAAGGGUUAAGAGUAAAAAAUUGCACCAAAAAGUGACAUUAAUUUCGGUUUAUCAGAGUAAUAAGAGCAUGCACACAUCACUCAGAUCUCAUCCUUAAAUAGACUCUGCGUACUUGUUUUCUUCUGGUCUUUAAGUUGCCCCCGUAGAAGUUUCUGUUGUUGAAGUGAGGAAAGUCCAAGAUAGACAUGACUCACUCCUCAUUUUUGGUCUUUAUGUAGAUAUCACAAGGUUUUGAGGCGGGUUUGAGGUCAUCACCCUGCAACAGAAUGAAACCUCCCUUACGAAGAUGCACACCGUUAGGCUAGAUGCAGUGUUUUGUCCCAGAGGGGGAUUUACCCUGAGAAAAAGUGCAAAAGUACAAAGGUUUGUGCAACUUUGCAACUUAAGAUAGCUACCACACAACAAUCAAGAAGAGAUACAACAUUAGAAAUAACAUGUUCCUUCAAAAGGAAAAAUGAUGGGAAACUCCAGAAAACAGCACAAAAAAGUGAAUGCUAAAAAGAGAUUAGACUAAUACAUACAUUUAGAUUUGGACUUUUUUGGGGUAAAGAUCUGUUUCUCAUUGAUUCCACGACUUGAGUGACUUCUAUAUGUACAACUUCUACAAACCUGUUACUGACAUCAAUCCCAAACUUGAAUAAAACCCUAAAUUCCGCCUUUUUUCACAGACAUCCUCUCCGACUUUCUUAAGUAUUUAAGUAACCUCAAAGUGUUUCGUCAUAUUGCUGUUUGUCAGACAGGAUUUAGAAAUGUCUGCUGUCUUCUCAGAUCUGUGGUGGCCCUUAAGGUCCAUGGCACGAAUGUUUCAGAAAGAUAAAUCAUAAAACAUUUCAUGAAAUUCAAAAACAUUGUGAAACAUAAAAUAUUCUGUAAACAGGAAGUGUGUUCUAACUACUUCUACAAAAGGAGUGCAAAAUAUUUUAGAAACAUCAAAUAUAUUUUUUCAAAAUUCCAAUGUAUUUUUUUUUUUUGUAAAAGUUUGUGUUUCUGAAGAAUUUUUAAAAAAUUCAAAAUUUAUUUUUGUGUUUUCAAAAUAAAUCCUCUCUGACUUCCUUAAAUAUGUGAGUAACCUCAAAGUGUUUCGCCAUAUUCCUGUUAAUCAGACAGGAUUUAGAAAUGUCUGCUGUCCUCUUAGAGCUAUGGUGGCCCUGAAGGUCCAUGGCACAGAUGUUUCAGAAAGGCAGUGAAAAGAUAAAGCAUAAAACACAAAAACAUUUCAGCAAAUUCAAAAUCAUCACGAAACAUAAAAUAUUCUGUAACCAAAAAGUGUGCUUUAAAAACUACUCCUGAAAAAGGAUUGCAAAGUAUUUCAGAAACAUCAACAUCAAAUAUAUUUUUUUAAAAUUCCAAUGUAUUCUUGUUUUGAAAGUUUGUGUUUUCAAAGUAUUUUUAAAAAGUGUCAAAAUUAGUUUUUGUGUUUUCAAAUUAAUUUUGGGUUUCAGAAAUAUCAUUAUGAUGUAUAAUUUUAUUUUCAUUUCAAAACUGUUUUAUGUUUUAACAUUUUUUUUCAGAAAUAUUUUUUUCCAACAUAUAUUUUGUAUAAAUGUCAGAUAUUUUUGUAUUUUGAAGAAUGCUUUAGGGUGUUAUGCCUCUCUUUGUCUUAUAUUUAUUUACCUGUUUCUGUGUUUGAUUAAAUAUUUAUCUUUUAUGUCAUAAUGUGCCGUUGCUCUUCAGGGCCACCGUACAUGACGAGUGCUUGACAGCCUUGUCUUGCAGUACUUUUGGAUGACAUGGUCACUUUUGGUCUGCCUGGAUAGACUUCAUACGUGUUUGACUGCAUUUCAGCAAAACGUUGAAGAUCUUUCUCUUGCGUCGCUGCUUUUUACUAAAGACUUAAAAAGCAUAAAUAAAAUGUUAGUUCCAGUUAGUUACAUAUUUCUUUGAAGCCAGUUUUAUAAGCUUUGAAAAAUGGUGAAAACUUAUCAAAUUUGCACAUUUUGACAAAACUCUAACCUCUAUCAUGAGACUUUAUGUGUAUGGUGCUGUGGGAAAGUAUGAUCUGGUGUAAAUGUGUCUUCACAGGAAAUAAGAAAAAGCAUCUCUAAUCUCACUUGAGUUUAUACUUUCAUUUUCUGUCUGCAGGGGUGAAUUUCCUUGCACUGUACACUGUUGAGUGUUUCUGUAAAACUGCCCACUCUCUCUAAAUAAAUUGUUCAUACUGGGAAA